UGGUCCGGAAGGGCAGAGGAAGAGCCCAGACCACUGCUCUCGUGGGGGAUAACGGCGAAGGAGGAGGCAGAGAUGUGGCAGGUCCUGGAGGACCUGCGUAGGGACAGCGUGGAGGAAGAGCCUUGGGUGGCAGAGGUGCGCACGGUAUCGCCAGUGCGCCUGCACAGCCCAGUGCGCUCUGUGCCAGCGCCCCACAUUUGCCGGGCUAGGGGGAGUGUUCAGCGAGGACGUGUUGUGCCGGCUCAGCGCUCCUGGCCUCCAGUGCCCCUUCUCGGUCCGAUGUAUCCUGCGCCGAGGACGCGCACUGUGUCUCCGGUACGGCUACACAGCCCAGUGCGUUCUGUGCCAGCGCUCCACACUUGCCAGGCUAAGGUGGGUGUUGAGCCAGAACGGGUGAUGUCAGCUGUGCACUCCAGACCUCCAGUGCGCCUCCUCGGUCCAGGAUAUCCGGCGCCGCUUAUGCGCACUGUGUCGCCGGUGUGCGGCCCCAGUCCAGUCCGGACCGUCCCUGCUCCCCGCACCAAGCCAGUGGUGUGUGCCCCCAGUCCAGUCCGGCCCGUCCCUGCUCCCCGCACCAGGUUAGUGGUGCGUGUCCACAGUCCUGUCCGGCCCAUCCCUGCUCCCCGCACCAGGUUAGUGGUGCGUGUCCCCAGUCCUGUCCGGCCCGUCCCUGCUCCCCGCACCAGGUUAGUGGUGCGUGUCCACAGUCCUGUCCGGCCCAUCCCG
Molecule: long non-coding RNA, 726 nt
Filed under: Salmo salar (Atlantic salmon)
Lineage: Eukaryota; Metazoa; Chordata; Actinopteri; Salmoniformes; Salmonidae
Description: lncRNA (ENSSSAG00000110337.1)
Source: RNAcentral